Molecule: non-coding RNA, 83 nt
Filed under: Paenibacillus naphthalenovorans
Lineage: Bacteria; Bacillati; Bacillota; Bacilli; Caryophanales; Paenibacillaceae
Description: c-di-GMP sequence
Rfam family: c-di-GMP-I riboswitch aptamer
About the family: GEMM was predicted in a large-scale screen for bacterial structured RNA regulatory elements.
Source: Rfam by way of RNAcentral
CAUUGAUAAAGGCAUACUUAUCGAAAGAUAAGGACGCAAAGCCACGGGUCUAAGGCAUAAGCUAUGACAGCCGGGUUGCCAAU